AACAAAUUCAAACAACUACAAACUUCUCUAAUGAAGACUAAUUUCAAAAUAGAACAAACUUGAAAAGAUCUUUUUGUUUUUCGUACCUCAUAGUUUCUUGUUCACCACGGGGAGAUGAUUGUUGAAAAUCCUCCAAGAAGCCAUUGCCAUGGGGGAGGAGAAGAGCCGUUAAAGGUGGAAGCUUUCUUUGCUUGAAGAAAAGUCAAGGGUUUCGAGUGAGAAGUCUUGGAGGGAGGCUUUUAGGGUUCUGUUAGAAUUUUGCCGAGAUAAGGAAAGGGUGAAGAUGAGAGCAGUAGAGCAAGUGAGCGACCGUGGGAUAAUGAGA
This 325-nucleotide long non-coding RNA is filed under the name Elaeis guineensis (African oil palm). RNAcentral's name for it is "long non-coding RNA (EGUI_LNC077275)". The record is from RNAcentral. Lineage: Eukaryota; Viridiplantae; Streptophyta; Magnoliopsida; Arecales; Arecaceae.